CUCAAUUGCGUCUGUCAAACCCGGGCAAAACCUGGGGCGGUCCUUCUCUUUGCCUCUGCCUAAUUGGUCCUUUCCCUAUGGAGAGGUGGGGUCUCCUAAGAGAGCCUCCUAGGCCAUUGCUCUACAGCGCUGUCAGUUGUCGCUGAAAGAGGGACGGCGGCUCGAUUAGGUAGAGCGCGCGCCUGGGCUCCGGUGUCACGUGCUGAAGUCUGGAGAGUCACCUGAUUAGUGAGAGUCAAUCUUCUAAAACCACUUCCGCCCUAACCUAGUUGCCAUGGUAACAGGGCCUCCCGCGGAGGGCGGGGGACCAGCUUGGCACCAAGGAGUCAGGGAUGGAUGGUCUGUUUUGCCCGAGUGUUCGCAUCCACUUACCAAAAGGCCGUGCGUUAUGGUUGAGAAGGGAGCCGCCACCGUGAGAGCACGGAGACCGGAGAUCCAUCGAGCAGCUCUUCAUCGAUCAACUCAGACCCACAAAUCCACGCCCCUUUUAGCUUCUAGUACUAGUAAGCUUAGCCACGACGUGUGCCAGCCACUCAGGAGGCUGUCUCACCUCCGCGGGUGGGUUGCUUACGCUCUGCCUAGAAAGACUUUUACUGCAGGCAUUUACCACACACAAACUGCCACUUUGCCUCUCUGAACAAACAUGCGCACAUGAAUUCCUCACCCAGAGGACCUUGUCUGAUUCCUCCCUGGAUCCACAUUGCCUGCGGAGAAUAAGGAAAUGAAGGUGAAGGUACAGCUCAGGCGCCCUCUCUUUCCUGAGGACUGCUUUGAUCCUAGGAGCAGCUCUGACUCAUUCAUUUUGCAGGAUAUUGAUCCCCCCCCCUUUAGAGUGUGAAUUUCUCCACCACCUGGACCGAUAUAGCAGAAAGAACACAGUGUUCAGAGAAGCGAGCAGUUUGGGAUUCUGAAGGCCACCUUCGAGCGAUGUCACUGAGCAGGUUGAAAUGAUUUGACUGUCCGGGCUGUCAUUCAGCCUACAACAAAAGUAACAAGAAAAGAGUCUGUGGUCCAACAAGCUGGCUCAGCAGGUUGAGGAUCUGAGUUCCAUCCCUGGAACCCACCUGGCAGAGGGAGAGAACUCAUCCUCAUAAGUUGUCCCCUGACUCGCGGGAGCACACACACAAACAUCAAUACAUACAUAUAAAUGUACAAAAGAAAAAUGGGCCCACAGAGGGAACACAGAAACACUUCGUCGUCCUUCGGGGCUCCCUUCUGUCCGCUACUUUUGUUGCUUGAUUCACUCAAACACACCCAGAGAACUCCUCCGCUAGGUCCCAGGAAAUCAGACCCUUCCCGAGCCAGCUCCUUGGAGAAGGGUCCAAUAAGGGAAGAGUCACGAGCUGAGCUACUACUCGUCUUUGUACCUAGUGCUGAAUGAAACCCAAGGACAGUGGCGCCCAGACAGACAGACUUCGCAGUGGCGGGGACAGCUAAUCCAGGGUUCUGAAGAAGCGAUGAGAGGGGAGAGCGCGCUUCGGCAAAGGCCAUCUUCCCACAAUCCUUCACGGGGUUCAGCGCCUCGCAGGCUGCCUGCUAGAUACGGGAAGUGCCUCCCUCAAAUGCAUGGCCCUUCUCAGACUUCUCAGCCCGCGUCACUCAAGCCCCAGAGGGAAACUCAGCUUGCUGCCUGCAAAGUAUUAAAGAAAAUGCAUCUCAGUCAUGGCGGAUAGAACCUCGGAAGCAGCACGUGUUCAAGAAACACGUCCGGUAAUUAUUUUCACAUAUGCCGUUUUAUCCUGAAACACUUUGUCUUCUUUGGAACUUUGCAAUGUGACCAUUUCAACAUGAAAAAAUCGUUCAGCCGGGCGUUGGUGGCGCACGCCUUUAAUCCCAGCACUUGGGAGGCAGAGGCAGGUGGAUCUCUGUGAGUUCGAGACCAGCCUGGUCUACAAGAGCUAGUUCCAGGACAGGCUCCAAAGCCGCAGAGAAACCCUGUCUCGAAAAAGAAAAAA
Molecule: long non-coding RNA, 1955 nt
Organism: Alexandromys fortis (reed vole)
Lineage: Eukaryota; Metazoa; Chordata; Mammalia; Rodentia; Cricetidae
Exons: 3
Source: RefSeq, a predicted model, not a curated record